AAAAAAGGGUUAAUCCAGGGAACAGAGAUUCACCGAGUAGCACCUGAAGCAAGGCCAGGCUGGACAGGGCUUGAAGGAACCGGGUCUAGUGGAAGUUGUCCCUGCCCAUGGCAGGGGCUGGAAUGAGAUGAGCAUUAAGGUCCCUUCCCACCCAAACCAUUGCAUGAGUCAAUGAUUCCACGGUUCUGUAGGAGCAUCAUCCUCCUGCUGCUGAGCAGCAGCCCCUGCACCAGAGCCUCCCGGGCUGCCAUUUUGGUGGAAACCCAUCUAGGCUGAGCUUUUCCUUUUACCUUUAAGCCAGCAGUCUAGCUGUGCCUACAUUGUGCAGGACUCUCCCUUGGCUCUCGUAUGUCAUUAUUUCAAGGCCAGGCUGCACAGGGCUUGGAGCAAUCUGGGUUAGUGAAGGUGUCCCUGCCAUGGCAGAGGUGGAAUUGGAUAUGGUUUAAAGUUUCUUCCAGGCCAAACCAUUCUCUUAGUGAAUGUCUUAGUGAUAUAAUAGGGUGAUCCUAAGGCUCUGGCAAGGCUAAGGAAUCUCUUCUGGCCCGACAUGAAGCUGUGCCUGCCAGAACUCCUUCCAGCUGGAGGUGAUCUGCUCCAACAUUUCCUGGUGCUCUGUGCACAGGGUGCAGCUGAGCAGGAAGGUCUGUCCUGCAGAGCCCUGCCCUUGGCUGGGAGCACCAGGCGCUGCUCCAGAGCUGGGUGAAGUCACCGUGACAAAGUCACCAUUUCACCUCUGUCAGCGCAGCUCUCGCAACUGCCCUUUGCAGUGGUAUCAUCACCUCGUGUCCCCAGGUGAGGUGUUUGUCACAGGAACAGGGAAAGGGCUUCUCUGCUUAAUGCUGAACGGAGGAUAGGCUGGAUGUUCCUCUGCCACACUCCUGGUAGAAGGAAAGGAUCUAUGGAGCAUCUUCAGGAUCUAUUGUAGCUACAGCUGGAUUGUGUGGAUGUCCUGUGGAUGAGGUGAUUGAGUACUUCUUCAGCCGCUUCAAAAUUUCUCUCUGGGGGCUGGCCCCUGGAGGACGGGUAUUUAGAGCCUUAAGGGAGACCUUCGACAAAUUCCUGCCUCCAAAUGCCCACGAGCUGGUGUCUGGAAAGCUGCACAUUAUCCUCACCCGCCUGCACGACUGGAGAUGCGUGACAGUGUCCGAGUUUGCCUCGAAGGAGGAGCUGAUUCAGGCUGUCAUAUGCAGUUGCUCCGUUCCACUGUAUUUUGGGAUUUUCCCUCCAACGUUCCGUGGGGUGCGCUACGUGGACGGGGAGCUGGCCAUGUGGAGAGCCGACUUCGUGUCCCGCACCACCAUCACCAUCUCUGCCUUCGCUGGCGAAUACGACAUCUGCCCCAAGGAUGGCCCCGCUGCCUUCUUGACCUUCCAGAUCUCUGACUGUAUCUUACAGAUCUCAAAAAUGAACAUCUGCCGCUUACAACACGUUUUACAGGUUCUCACACAUCAGGUCAUGGACCGCUUUUAUGCCCAGGGCUACCAGGACACAGUCUCCUUCCUAAAAAGACUGAGGGAUUUCCAGGUGAAUUACUUUGAGGGCUUCACACUUUCCUUGGCCAAUGAACCAAAUCAGAAAGGUGACGAGACCCUGCACCUGAAGCCACGACUGAGGCUUUUUCACUCCAGAGCCACAGAUCAUGAGGAUGACAACAAAGAGAAUCCAGGAAUCAUCCAGGCAGCAGAUAAAGAAGAAUAGGAAGCCUCACACCACCUUCUCCACCCCAGGCAGGACCAGAUCAGCCACAGAAGAGCAUUUCUGAGCCUGCUGCUGCCUUUGGCCCCAGCUUCUGCUUUAAAAACCAAUGAGCAACUUGGAACCCAGCCUGAAGGCUGAGCCUGACCUGCCCUGAGGAGCACAUGGGCUCUGCCAGCAAUGCCACAGCACAGGCAGGGCCACAGCCCGGGAUGAUUCCCAUGAUCCACCCCUAGAGGAGGCAUUCCAGGCUGGUUCUAUCCCCACUGGGUGCAGCUGGGCUUCCCACUUUGCUUCCUUGCAGUGAAACAAGCUCCUGCACAAGAUGAUUCCAAUCAAUGCCAAACUUUGCCUCUAUCCAUUGCCUCUCUCAAAGUCUCCAUUGCCAUUAGCUCCAAGCUCGUGUCUCCAAGAGGAGACAGCACCAGCUCUGCUUGCUUGAAAAGAUGAGGGAUUAAUAAACAAA
Taeniopygia guttata (zebra finch) is the source of this 2161-nucleotide long non-coding RNA. The record is from Ensembl. NCBI's taxonomy places the organism in Eukaryota, Metazoa, Chordata, Aves, Passeriformes, Estrildidae.